This is a long non-coding RNA of Physella acuta, 702 nucleotides long. RefSeq lists it as uncharacterized. The record is from RefSeq and is a predicted model, not a curated record. NCBI's taxonomy places the organism in Eukaryota, Metazoa, Mollusca, Gastropoda, Physidae.
UGCGUUUACACUACACGUCGGCAGACCGAAUUUCUGUUUCUGACAACAAGGCCGAACAACUGGAAAGCAAACAAAAAGUAUAACCCAGUUCUAUUGGUUACACUAGAUCCGAACUCAUCGUCCGAGUCGUCAGACCACGUCAGGCACCUGAUGAUGAACUUAAAAUUUUGUUUCUGUUCUGACGGAAAACACAUUCUGAUGAAAAUUUAUCUGGCAGGGAUAAACAAAAAAUAAAAUGGAGGACUUCAGUUUGAACAGAAAGUUGUAGUAUUUGACACAGAGAAGCUGAUUUUUACUUAUCCAAGAGAGAAAAUUAAAGUUCUGAAAUAGCCGAUUAACUCGGAUGUACAAGUGCACAAGCCAAAAACCAAGUGGAAAAACCUACUUGAUAUAUUUAGAAAGGAGGAUAUCAAGAUUAGCAACAAAAGAGUAACUGGCAGUAUAGCUCCAAACAAACCAUGGACAUAUAAUCAAUUAUCCUUUAUGAAUGAUUGUUUCGCUUCCAAGCAAACGUUAAGCAGCAUACAGGUACCUUCAACUUCAAUUCAGUAUCGAGUGAAACCAUUGUUUAAAAGAUAUCUUUUUUUGAUGACACUGAUUCAAAUUGUAGUCAAGUUGUGGAAGAAGCAAUUGCUAAAGAUCCUGACCCAGGAUUACUUAAUUUUGUGUCAUGCCUGAAUAAAAAAAAUUAAUUGAAAAAUG